Non-coding RNA from Misgurnus anguillicaudatus (oriental weatherfish), 172 nucleotides. The record is from RefSeq and is a predicted model, not a curated record. Lineage: Eukaryota; Metazoa; Chordata; Actinopteri; Cypriniformes; Cobitidae.
AUUGCUUUGGUAAAAACUCAAGUUGAAUCAGUGGAAAUCUCAGCGUCUGAACAUUUUUACAUCUUUCUGAUUGUGUUUGUGGUUCAAAUAUUCAUUAUAGCAGCCAUCUGGGUGUGGUUUUGCCUGAAAAAAUCUCGUCUGAAAAAACAAAUUAAUGACAAAGAUUAAGAGG